AGUGAACGCUGGCGGCAGGCCUAACACAUGCCAGUCGAACGGCAGCACAGUAAGAGCUUGCUAUUACGGGUGGCGAGUGGCGGAUGGGUGAUGAAUACAUCGGACUCUACUUUUUCGUGGGGGAUGACGUAGGGAAACUUACGCUAAUACCGCAUACGACCUACGGGUGAAAGCAGGGGAUCUUCGGACCUUGCGCGUUUGAAUGAGCCGGUGCCGGAUUGUCGUGUUGGCGGGGUAUAGGCCCACCAUGGCGACGAUCCGUAGCUGGUCUGAGAGGGUGAUGAGCCCCUCUGGAGCUGAGACGCGGUCCAGAGUCCUACGGGAGGCAGCGGUGGGGAAUAUUGGAAAAUGGGCGGAAGCCUGAACCAGCCAUACCGCGUGGGUGAAGAAGGCCUUCGGGUUGUAAAGCCCUUUUGUGGGGGAAGAACAGUAGCAGGCUAAUACCCCGCUGUUCUGACGGUACCCAAAGAAUAAGCACCGGCUAACUUCGUG
RNAcentral lists this ribosomal RNA (492 nucleotides) under uncultured bacterium. RNAcentral describes it as "partial 16S ribosomal RNA". It matches the Rfam family "Bacterial small subunit ribosomal RNA", at positions 29 to 507 of the family's 1533-position model. The record is from RNAcentral.